GAUGAACGCUGGCGGCGUGCCUAAUACAUGCAAGUAGAACGCUGAAGGAGGAGCUUGCUCUUCUGGAUGAGUUGCGAACGGGUGAGUAACGCGUAGGUAACCUGCCUGGUAGCGGGGGAUAACCAUUGGAAACGAUAGCUAAUACCGCAUGACAACAGUUAUUGCAUGAUAACUGUUUAAAAGGGGCAACUGCUCCACUACCAGAUGGACCUGCGUUGUAUUAGCUAGUUGGUGAGGUAACGGCUCACCAAGGCGACGAUACAUAGCCGACCUGAGAGGGGGAUCGGCCACACUGGGACUGGGACACGGCCCAGACUCCUACGGGAGGCAGCAGUAGGGAAUCUUCGGCAAUGGACGGAAGUCUGACCGAGCAACGCCGCGUGAGUGAAGAAGGUUUUCGGAUCGUAAAGCUCUGUUGUAAGAGAAGAACGAGUGUGAGAGUGGAAAGUUCACACUGUGACGGUAUCUUACCAGAAAGGGACGGCUAACUACGUG
Molecule: ribosomal RNA, 495 nt
Filed under: uncultured bacterium
Lineage: Bacteria
Description: partial 16S ribosomal RNA
Rfam family: Bacterial small subunit ribosomal RNA
Source: RNAcentral